Molecule: ribosomal RNA, 468 nt
Filed under: uncultured bacterium
Lineage: Bacteria
Description: partial 16S ribosomal RNA
Rfam family: Bacterial small subunit ribosomal RNA
Source: RNAcentral
GACGAACGCUGGCGGCGUGCUUAACACAUGCAAGUCGAACGGAAAGGCCCUGCUUUUGUGGGGUGCUCGAGUGGCGAACGGGUGAGUAACACGUGAGUAACCUGCCCUUGACUUUGGGAUAACUUCAGGAAACUGGGGCUAAUACCGGAUAGGAGCUCCUGCUGCAUGGUGGGGGUUGGAAAGUUUCGGCGGUUGGGGAUGGACUCGCGGCUUAUCAGCUUGUUGGUGGGGUAGUGGCUUACCAAGGCUUUGACGGGUAGCCGGCCUGAGAGGGUGACCGGCCACAUUGGGACUGAGAUACGGCCCAGACUCCUACGGGAGGCAGAAGUGGGGAAUAUUGCAAAAUGGGCGGAAGCCUGAUGCAGCAACGCCGCGUGCGGGAUGACGGCCUUCGGGUUGUAAACCGCUUUCGCCUGUGACGAAGCGUGAGGGACGGUAAUGGGUAAAGAAGCACCGGCUAACUAAGUG